This 293-nucleotide ribosomal RNA is filed under the name uncultured bacterium. RNAcentral's name for it is "partial 16S ribosomal RNA". It matches the Rfam family "Bacterial small subunit ribosomal RNA", at positions 775 to 1067 of the family's 1533-position model. The record is from RNAcentral.
GGAUUAGAUACCCUGGUAGUCCACGCCGUAAACGAUGUCUACUAGUUGUCGGGACUCUUGCAGUCUUGGUAACGCAGCUAACGCGAUAAGUAGACCGCCUGGGGAGUACGGCCGCAAGGUUAAAACUCAAAUGAAUUGACGGGGGCCCGCACAAGCGGUGGAGCAUGUGGUUUAAUUCGAAGCAACGCGAAGAACCUUACCUGGCCUUGACAUCCUGCGAACUUGGUAGAGAUACCUUGGUGCCUUCGGGAGCGCAGAGACAGGUGCUGCAUGGCUGUCGUCAGCUCGUGCUG